ACUCCUACGGGAGGCAGCAGUGGGGAAUAUUGCACAAUGGGCGCAAGCCUGAUGCAGCCAUGCCGCGUGUGGUGAAGAAGGCCUUCGGGUUGUAAAGCACUUUCAGUCGUGAGGAAGGUGGUGUUGUUAAUAGCACGCAUCAUUUGACGUUAGCGACAGAAGAAAGCAACCGGCUAACUCCGUGCCAGCAGCCGCGGUAAUACGGAGGGUGCGAGCGUUAAUCGGAAUUACUGGGCGUAAAGCGCAUGCAGGUGGUUUGUUAAGUCAGAUGUGAAAGCCCGGGGCUCAACCUCGGAAUUGCAUUUGAAACUGGCAGACUAGAGUACUGUAGAGGGGGGUAGAAUUUCAGGUGUAGCGGUGAAAAUGCGUAGAGAUCUGAAGGAAUACCGGUGGCGAAGGCGGCCCCCUGGACAGAUACUGACACUCAGAUGCGAAAGCGUGGGGGAGCAAAACAGGAUUAGAUA
RNAcentral lists this ribosomal RNA (464 nucleotides) under uncultured bacterium. Its description in RNAcentral is "bacterial SSU rRNA". It matches the Rfam family "Bacterial small subunit ribosomal RNA", at positions 335 to 784 of the family's 1533-position model. The record is from RNAcentral.